Molecule: ribosomal RNA, 484 nt
Filed under: uncultured bacterium
Lineage: Bacteria
Description: partial 16S ribosomal RNA
Rfam family: Bacterial small subunit ribosomal RNA
Source: RNAcentral
AUUGAACGCUGGCGGCAGGCCUAACACAUGCAAGUCGAGCGGAUGAAGGGAGCUUGCUCCUGGAUUCAGCGGCCGACGGGUGAGUAAUGCCUAGGAAUCUGCCUGGUAGUGGGGGAUAACGUCCGGAAACGGGCGCUAAUACCGCAUACGUCCUGAGGGUGAACGUGGGGGAUCUUCGGACCUCGCGCUAUCAGAUGAGCCUAGGUCGGAUUAGCUAGUUGGUGGGGUAAAGGCCUACCAAGGCGACGAUCCGUAACUGGUCUGAGAGGAUGAUCAGUCACACUGGAACUGAGACACGGUCCAGACUCCUACGGGAGGCAGCAGUGGGGAAUAUUGGACAAUGGGCGAAAGCCUGAUCCAGCCAUGCCGCGUGUGUGAAGAAGGUCUUCGGAUUGUAAAGCACUGUAAGUUGGGAGGAAGGGCAGUAAGUGAAUACCUUGCUGUUUUGACGUUACCAACAGAAUAAGCACCGGCUAACUUCGUG